AUAGUAAUUGAACUUAGUACGAGAGGAACAGUUCAUUCGGAUAAUUGGUUUUUGCGGCUGUCUGAUCAGGCAUUGCCGCGAAGCUACCAUCCGCUGGAUUAUGGCUGAACGCCUCUAAGUCAGAAUCCAUGCUAGAACGCGGUGAUUUCUUUGCUCCACACAAUAUAGAUGGAUACGAAUAAGGCGUCCUUGUGGCGUCGCUGA
This 204-nucleotide ribosomal RNA is filed under the name Staphylococcus pseudintermedius. RNAcentral's name for it is "partial 23S ribosomal RNA". It matches the Rfam family "Eukaryotic large subunit ribosomal RNA", at positions 3016 to 3217 of the family's 3401-position model. The record is from RNAcentral. Lineage: Bacteria; Bacillati; Bacillota; Bacilli; Caryophanales; Staphylococcaceae.